Molecule: ribosomal RNA, 253 nt
Filed under: uncultured bacterium
Lineage: Bacteria
Description: partial 16S ribosomal RNA
Rfam family: Bacterial small subunit ribosomal RNA
Source: RNAcentral
UACGGAGGGAGCUAGCGUUAUUCGGAAUUACUGGGCGUAAAGCGCACGUAGGCGGCUUUGUAAGUUAGAGGUGAAAGCCUGGAGCUCAACUCCAGAAUUGCCUUUAAGACUGCAUCGCUUGAAUCCAGGAGAGGUGAGUGGAAUUCCGAGUGUAGAGGUGAAAUUCGUAGAUAUUCGGAAGAACACCAGUGGCGAAGGCGGCUCACUGGACUGGUAUUGACGCUGAGGUGCGAAAGCGUGGGGAGCGAACGGG